AACGAACGCUGGCGGCAGGCCUCAAACAUGCAAGUCUAGGGGGUGCAGCAAUGCAUCACCGGCGGACGGGUGCGUAACGCGUGGGAAUAUACCUUUUGGUUCGGAACAACUGCGGGAAACUGCAGCUAAUACCGAAUGCGCCCUAACGGGGAAAGAUUUAUCGCCAAAGGAUUAGCCCGCGUAGGAUUAGCUAGUUGGUGAGGUAAUGGCUCACCAAGGCUCCGAUCCUUAGCNGUUCUGAGAGGAAGAUCAGCCACACUGGGACUGAGACACGGCCCCAGACUCCUACGGGAGGCAGCAGGUUGGGAAUCUUGGACAAGUGGGGGAAA
Molecule: ribosomal RNA, 329 nt
Filed under: uncultured bacterium
Lineage: Bacteria
Description: bacterial SSU rRNA
Rfam family: Bacterial small subunit ribosomal RNA
Source: RNAcentral